Molecule: long non-coding RNA, 940 nt
Organism: Mugil cephalus (flathead mullet)
Lineage: Eukaryota; Metazoa; Chordata; Actinopteri; Mugiliformes; Mugilidae
Exons: 3
Source: RefSeq, a predicted model, not a curated record
GUGUGUGUGUGUGUGUGUGUUGGAGCUGAAGAGAAAAAAGGCCGAUUUUUUGUGCUUGUGAGCUUACACAACUCUACACCGGGUAGUGUUUGUGUACACCUACACAGGAUGAUCUAAUCAUAAGAGGAAGCUCAGCUGGCUUACACAACAGAAAUGUUUACAGUGAUGGAGAUCAACUGAUGAUGAUGGUACCAGGAAUUGACAAAAUUGACUACUAAAUAUACUGUGGUCAAGGUAAAUAACACGAUGUGUGUGUGUGUGCCUGUGCGUGUAUCCAUGUUACAGAGCGAUUGAACAAUUCCUAUACAGUUGGAAGAGGAAGGUAAAAAUGGUCGGACUGAAGUGACCGUUCACGCCACAGCUCAGUGAUCCAAGCCCUGGACAGUAAAACUUAUUCUAUGUGGACAAACCAGAAAUUGUGUUGGGAUAGUGAAAGCUACGUGCUAGAUUCCAAGCUAUGUCAUUGUUUACCUCAGUGGAAUCCAAAUGCUGCUGGAAUAUAGUGUUGGCUCGCUAGCCCUGUUAUCACCUUGUACAAAUAGUCUGUUGAACCUUGUGCUCUACAUAGCCAGCUCUCUCCAUGCUUUACCAAGGACGGAGCGCUGGACAGCCUCUGCUCCUUGACCAUUCAGGCACAGUAACGUCAGUUGGAAGCUCUGGAAUCUAUGAACAUGAGCAGCUGGUUCUUUUAGGCAAGUCCGUUGGAUGAGGGAGAAACGAGCAGAUCUGCCUGAGCAUCUACGACAAGGACCAAAUCACUAGUCAGACAUCUGGGAUCUGGAACCGUGAUUUCACCAAGCGGCAACUUCUGGGUCUGAGCCAUGAAGCCCAUUCAUCGAGUGGCCGUUUGAGGCUGGCUGCAAAAGGGAGCAAAUCCCCAUAGACCCCCAUGUUAAAAAGCCCAAUUUAACAUCAUUAUUAAACAUGUUUACAGCCUGGU